This is a long non-coding RNA of Corvus hawaiiensis (hawaiian crow), 488 nucleotides long. RefSeq lists it as uncharacterized. The record is from RefSeq and is a predicted model, not a curated record. NCBI's taxonomy places the organism in Eukaryota, Metazoa, Chordata, Aves, Passeriformes, Corvidae. The transcript is spliced from 2 exons.
GAGGCCUGGCUGCGGCUGCGGCGCGCGGGCUGGGCUGGGGUCGGGGAGGGUUUGCCCACGCGAACCUGUGUGCGGUGGAAGCAUCCCCGAGACCCACCCCGCUGUCGGGCAGCGAGGGCACCGGGGAAGGGGCUCUCCCGCUGGCCUCUCAGCCCCCUCGUUAAUAUUAGCACCUAAUACAGUUCCCAGUGAAGUCAGUGAAGCAAGUCAUACUCAUUUGAAGAAAGGUAAAACUGAGAUAAUGCAUGGAUUUAUUCCCAAGAGUGAAAUUCAGCAGCGGCCUGCAGUCCCAUUCAAACCCUCCAGGAGAAAUUCAACCAGCUGCCUGCAUAGCUUUUAGCUUCCUUUGGAUGUUUGCAAAAAUAAAACUGGUUUGAUAAGUUAUUAAUGAAAACAGUUUGGUGGCUACUUUGUUAGAGUGUUUAUCCCAUCUCCUGUUUUCUGUAUUUAUGGAAAACCUGUAAAUAAAACAUAUUCUUUUGGAUCUC